GAUGAACGCUGGCGGCGUGCCUAAUACAUGCAAGUCGAGCGAACGGACGAGAAGCUUGCUGCUGUGGUGUUAGCGGCGGACGGGUGAGUAACACGUGGAGAACCUACCUAUAAGACUGGGAUAACUUCGGGAAACCGGAGCUAAUACCGGAUGAUAUUAUGAGCCGCAUGGUUCAAAAGUGAAAGACGGUCUUGCUGUCACUUAUAGAUGGAUCCGCGCUGCAUUAGCUAGUUGGUAAGGUAACGGCUUACCAAGGCAACGAUGCAUAGCCGACCUGAGAGAGGGAUAGGCGACACUGGAACUGGGACACGGUCCAGACCCCUACGGGAGGCAGCAGUAGGGAACCUUCCGCAAUGGGCGAAAGCAUGACGGAGCAACGCCGCGUGAGUGAUGAAGGUAUUCGGAUCGUAAAACUCUGUUAUUAGGGAAGAACAUAUGUGUAAGUAACUGUGCACAUCUUGACGGUACCUAAUCAGAAAGCCACGGCUAACUACGUG
This 497-nucleotide ribosomal RNA is filed under the name uncultured bacterium. RNAcentral describes it as "partial 16S ribosomal RNA". It matches the Rfam family "Bacterial small subunit ribosomal RNA", at positions 28 to 507 of the family's 1533-position model. The record is from RNAcentral.